This 488-nucleotide ribosomal RNA is filed under the name uncultured bacterium. Its description in RNAcentral is "bacterial SSU rRNA". It matches the Rfam family "Bacterial small subunit ribosomal RNA", at positions 28 to 524 of the family's 1533-position model. The record is from RNAcentral.
GACGAACGCUGGCGGCGUGCUUAACACAUGCAAGUCGAACGGUGAACCAGAGCUUGCUCUGGGGAGUCAGUGGCGAACGGGUGAGUAACACAUGGGCAACCUGCCCAGACUCUGGGAUAACCUCGGGAAACCGAUGCUAAUACCGGAUACGACCACUUCGGACAUCCGACGGUGGUGGAAAGUUUUUCGGUCUGGGAUGGGCCCGCGGCCUAUCAGCUAGUUGGUGGGGUAAUGGCCUACCAAGGCGACGACGGGUAGCCGGCCCGAGAGGGCGACCGGCCACACUGGAACUGAGACACGGUCCAGACUCCUACGGGAGGCAGCAGUGGGGAAUAUUGCACAAUGGGCGAAAGCCUGAUGCAGCGACGCCGCGUGAGGGGACGACGGGCCUUCGGGUUGGUAAACCUCUUUCAGCAGGGACGAAGCGAAAGUGACUGUACCUGCAGAAGAAGACACCGGCGUAACUACGUGCCAGCAGCCGCGGUAAU